CAUAUGUUUAUUGCGACAUGUCCCCAGUGUCUCCCAUCCCAGGCUUUUGGGGUGAAGACAAAAGGAAUCCAAAAAAUGAUUUGUAUUCAAUAUAUUAAUAUUUAUAAUCCAUAUGUAGAUUGCGACAUGUGCCCAGCGUCUCACAUCUCAGGGCUUUUGGGGUGGAGGUCCUGGGUAUGUCAGUGAGCGCUCUGUUCAUUGUUAUUAAACGUUAGUUGAUGUUGCACAAUUUCAUUAGCUUGCAAACUAUUUUUUUCUCUUCUCUAUGUGUGCAAACAAUUUAUAUGCACUUUUUUGUCUUUGCAAACAAUUUUUUGAAGAAUUUUCCAUCCCCCUUCCAUAAAAAUAAUGGUCCAUUCCUAAAUAACGCUUUUUUAUUGACUGGGAUUUCAAUAACUCGGACUGGGAUUUCUAAUAAAAAUCCAACUGGGACUGGGAUUUUGCCAAAAUUUCAGAUGGGAUUGGGACCCCCCCCCCUUCUGGACCCUCUUGCAAUGUCAAUGAUAGUUUAAUUAAUUAAAGUGCGGAAACAAGAAUGGUUGACCACAGGCGGCCCAAUCUCAGAAUGAAUGAUCAG
Molecule: non-coding RNA, 577 nt
Organism: Paramuricea clavata
Lineage: Eukaryota; Metazoa; Cnidaria; Anthozoa; Malacalcyonacea; Plexauridae
Source: the annotation of a GenBank genome assembly